CCUACGGGAGGCAGCAGUGAGGAAUAUUGGUCAAUGGGCGCGAGCCUGAACCAGCCAAGUCGCGUGAGGGAAGACGGUCCUAUGGAUUGUAAACCUCUUUUGUCGGGGAGCAAAAGACGCCACGCGUGGCGCUCCGAGAGUACCCGACGAACAAGCAUCGGCAAACCCCGUGCCAGCAGCCGUGGUAAUACGGGGGAUGCGAGCGUUAUCCGGAUUUAUUGGGUUUAAAGGGUGCGCAGGCGGAAGAUCAAGUCAGCGGUAAAAUUGAGAGGCUCAACCUCUUCGAGCCGUUGAAACUGGUAGACUUGAGUGAGCGAGAGGUAGGCGGAAUGCGUGGUGUAGCGGUGAAAUGCGUAGAUAUCGCGAAGAACUCCGGUUGCGAAGGCAGGAUACCGGAGCUCAACUGACGCUCAUGCACGAAGGUGAGGGUAUCGAACGGGAUUAGAUACCCCUGUAGUC
This 459-nucleotide ribosomal RNA is filed under the name uncultured bacterium. Its description in RNAcentral is "partial 16S ribosomal RNA". It matches the Rfam family "Bacterial small subunit ribosomal RNA", at positions 338 to 795 of the family's 1533-position model. The record is from RNAcentral.